CCAGACUCCUACGGGAGGCAGCAGUAGGGAAUUUUCGUCAAUGGGCGCAAGCCUGACCCAGCAACGCCGCGUGAAGGAAGAAGGCUUUCGGGUUGUAAACUUCUUUUCUCAGGGACGAAGCAAGUGACGGUACCUGAGGAAUAAGCCACGGCUAACUACGUGCCAGCAGCCGCGGUAAUACGUAGGUGGCAAGCGUUAUCCGGAUUUACUGGGUGUAAAGGGCGUGUAGGCGGGACUGCAAGUCAGAUGUGAAAACCACGGGCUCAACCUUGGAACUGCAUUUGAAACUGUUGGUCUUGAGUAUCGGAGAGGCAGGCGGAAUUCCUAGUGUAGCGGUGAAAUGCGUAGAUAUUAGGAGGAACACCAGUGGCGAAGGCGGCCUGCUGGACGACAACUGACGGUGAGGCGCGAAAGCGUGGGGAGCAAACAGGAUUAGAUACCCCUGUA
Molecule: ribosomal RNA, 447 nt
Filed under: uncultured bacterium
Lineage: Bacteria
Description: partial 16S ribosomal RNA
Rfam family: Bacterial small subunit ribosomal RNA
Source: RNAcentral